UGCAUAGUGUACAAGAACCCAACUCCCAGAACUACGAUUUUGAAUCAGAAGAGAGAUAUCUCUAUUCACUCUUUCAAUAACGAGACCGAGUCUUCCAUCUUCAAACUAGACCAUGUUUGUAAGUGCAGAAUAUGUGCCAAAUACAGCUGAAAUCAGUCCCACCACUAUAAUGAAACUGCAAGCUGCAAGCUGAAAUCGCGUGAUUUGAUCUUUACUUAGUUGGAUGUAGCAUACACAAGGAAGGAUUAA
This 249-nucleotide unclassified non-coding RNA is filed under the name Hevea brasiliensis (rubber tree). The record is from RNAcentral. Lineage: Eukaryota; Viridiplantae; Streptophyta; Magnoliopsida; Malpighiales; Euphorbiaceae.